This 86-nucleotide transfer RNA is filed under the name Mycolicibacterium sp. (ex Dasyatis americana). RNAcentral describes it as "tRNA-Tyr". It matches the Rfam family "tRNA". From Rfam's summary of the family: Transfer RNA (tRNA) molecules are approximately 80 nucleotides in length. Their secondary structure includes four short double-helical elements and three loops (D, anti-codon, and T loops). Further hydrogen bonds mediate the characteristic L-shaped molecular structure. tRNAs have two regions of fundamental functional importance: the anti-codon, which is responsible for specific mRNA codon recognition, and the 3' end, to which the tRNAs corresponding amino acid is attached (by aminoacyl-tRNA synthetases). tRNAs cope with the degeneracy of the genetic code in two manners: having more than one tRNA (with a specific anti-codon) for a particular amino acid; and 'wobble' base-pairing, i.e. permitting non-standard base-pairing at the 3rd anti-codon position. Lineage: Bacteria; Bacillati; Actinomycetota; Actinomycetes; Mycobacteriales; Mycobacteriaceae. The record is from RNAcentral. RNAcentral also lists the same sequence under 2 other names.
GGCAGGUUGCCCGAGCGGCCAAUGGGAGCGGACUGUAAAUCCGUCGGCUUACGCCUACACAGGUUCGAAUCCUGUACCUGCCACCC